This 497-nucleotide ribosomal RNA is filed under the name uncultured bacterium. Its description in RNAcentral is "partial 16S ribosomal RNA". It matches the Rfam family "Bacterial small subunit ribosomal RNA", at positions 28 to 507 of the family's 1533-position model. The record is from RNAcentral.
GAUGAACGCUGGCGGCGUGCCUAAUACAUGCCAGUCGAGCGAACAGACGAGGAGCUUGCUCCUCUGACGUUAGCGGCGGACGGGUGAGUAACACGUGGAUAACCUACCUAUAAGACUGGGAUAACUUCGGGAAACCGGAGCUAAUACCGGAUAAUAUAUUGAACCGCAUGGUUCAAUAGUGAAAGACGGUUUUGCUGUCACUUAUAGAUGGAUCCGCGCCGCAUUAGCUAGUUGGUAAGGUAACGGCUUACCAAGGCAACGAUGCGUAGCCGACCUGAGAGGGUGAUCGGCCACACUGGAACUGAGACACGGUCCAGACUCCUACGGGAGGCAGCAGUAGGGAAUCUUCCGCAAUGGGCGAAAGCCUGACGGAGCAACGCCGCGUGAGUGAUGAAGGUCUUCGGAUCGUAAAACUCUGUUAUUAGGGAAGAACAAAUGUGUAAGUAACAAUGCACGUCUUGACGGUACCUAAUCAGAAAGCCACGGCUAACUACGUG